Molecule: ribosomal RNA, 744 nt
Filed under: Bacillus sp. SKS8
Lineage: Bacteria; Bacillati; Bacillota; Bacilli; Caryophanales; Bacillaceae
Description: bacterial SSU rRNA
Rfam family: Bacterial small subunit ribosomal RNA
Source: RNAcentral
AGGGUCAUUGGAAACUGGGGAACUUGAGUGCAGAAGAGGAGAGUGGAAUUCCACGUGUAGCGGUGAAAUGCGAUAGAGAUGUGGAGGAACACCAGUGGCGAAGGCGACUCUCUGGUCUGUAACUGACGCUGAGGAGCGAAAGCGUGGGGAGCGAACAGGAUUAGAUACCCUGGUAGUCCACGCCGUAAACGAUGAGUGCUAAGUGUUAGGGGGUUUCCGCCCCUUAGUGCUGCAGCUAACGCAUUAAGCACUCCGCCUGGGGAGUACGGUCGCAAGACUGAAACUCAAAGGAAUUGACGGGGGCCCGCACAAGCGGUGGAGCAUGUGGUUUAAUUCGAAGCAACGCGAAGAACCUUACCAGGUCUUGACAUCCUCUGACAAUCCUAGAGAUAGGACGUCCCCUUCGGGGGCAGAGUGACAGGUGGUGCAUGGUUGUCGUCAGCUCGUGUCGUGAGAUGUUGGGUUAAGUCCCGCAACGAGCGCAACCCUUGAUCUUAGUUGCCAGCAUUCAGUUGGGCACUCUAAGGUGACUGCCGGUGACAAACCGGAGGAAGGUGGGGAUGACGUCAAAUCAUCAUGCCCCUUAUGACCUGGGCUACACACGUGCUACAAUGGACAGAACAAAGGGCAGCGAAACCGCGAGGUUAAGCCAAUCCCACAAAUCUGUUCUCAGUUCGGAUCGCAGUCUGCAACUCGACUGCGUGAAGCUGGAAUCGCUAGUAAUCGCGGAUCAGCAUGCCGCGG